Long non-coding RNA from Toxorhynchites rutilus septentrionalis, 839 nucleotides. RefSeq lists it as uncharacterized. The record is from RefSeq and is a predicted model, not a curated record. Lineage: Eukaryota; Metazoa; Arthropoda; Insecta; Diptera; Culicidae. The transcript is spliced from 3 exons.
AAGUCGGUAAAAUAAGAACCCAGCACGCACGUAGGCACUUCUAGUUUCAAACAAACCAAAGACGCGUAUGAUGGUGUGAAACCAUAGCCCAUCAUUCUCGACCAGGUUCUGCACUCUGCCACGAGUGCGUAGUUACCUCUAGUCUCUGCCAGUUGGUCAUGCGUCAAUCACCGGACUGAAAACCCGUUUGGGUAAUUCUCGAGCGAUACCUAGAAUUCGAUGUCAUCAGCGGAAGCUUAUGUAAAUAACGAUUGACAGCGAUUGACGCGGCGGUGUAAUUAGAGUAAUGACCCGGCUCCAGGAAUUCCACGUUUUAUGUAUACAUCAAUUGAUGAUAUAGAGCUGUGUGAUACAAGAGCACAGGUGAUCCUGGUUGUUCCGUUGUCAUGCAGAACUGAAAUACAAACAACUGGAAAAUGGCGGGUACUUGUGAACUAUCGAAUACGGAACACAGCAAAUUCAUUAAAUGGAAAGCACGCGAUGCUAUUGAAAACAAACAAUGAUUUGGACAAUUCAACAAUGGAACAAAGUGAACAGUGAACAAAACAAAAAUAAUAGCCAUUGAGGGCUGUUAUAAAAUUUGAGGCGGAAAGAUGAACUUGUUGAAGGUGAAAUACCCAUAGCUGGUGGAUGAUAAUCCAGACGACCGGAGUGCGAACCCACAUCGCAGCAGUUUUCACCAAUGUCCACGCUUGUCCAUGGUGAGGGAGGAGGGGAUUUAGAUAAUGUCCACGUGGACACAUAAAAUGAAUAUUUCUGAAAAUACAAUAUAAUCAAAAAUGAAUGAAAUCUGCUCUGCAUUUUCAUAGAAUUUCAAUCUUGCCGCUCCUUACGUGUAC